Molecule: ribosomal RNA, 492 nt
Filed under: uncultured bacterium
Lineage: Bacteria
Description: partial 16S ribosomal RNA
Rfam family: Bacterial small subunit ribosomal RNA
Source: RNAcentral
AGUGAACGCUGGCGGUAGGCCUAACACAUGCAAGUCGAACGGCAGCACAGUAAGAGCUUGCUCUUACGGGUGGCGAGUGGCGGACGGGUGAGGAAUACAUCGGGAUCUACUUUUUCGUGGGGGAUAACGUAGGGAAACUUACGCUAAUACCGCAUACGACCUACGGGUGAAAGCAGGGGAUCUUCGGACCUUGCGCGAUUGAAUGGGCCGAUGUCGGAUUAGCUAGUUGGCGGGGUAAAGGCCCACCAAGGCGACGAUCCGUAGCUGGUCUGAGAGGAUGAUCAGCCACACUGGAACUGAGACACGGUCCAGACUCCUACGGGAGGCAGCAGUGGGGAAUAUUGGACAAUGGGCGCAAGCCUGAUCCAGCCAUACCGCGUGGGUGAAGAAGGCCUUCGGGUUGCAAAGCCCUUUUGUUGGGAAAGAAAAGCAGCAGGUUAAUACCCCGCUGUUCUGACGGUACCCAAAGAAUAAGCACCGGCUAACUUCGUG